This 523-nucleotide ribosomal RNA is filed under the name uncultured bacterium. Its description in RNAcentral is "bacterial SSU rRNA". It matches the Rfam family "Bacterial small subunit ribosomal RNA", at positions 8 to 526 of the family's 1533-position model. The record is from RNAcentral.
AGAGUUUGAUCCUGGCUCAGGAUGAACGCUAGCGGCAGGCCUAAUACAUGCAAGUCGAGGGGCAGCACAGGUAGCAAUACUGGGUGGCGACCGGCAAACGGGUGCGGAACACGUACGCAACCUUCCUUUAAGCGGGGAAUAGCCCAGAGAAAUUUGGAUUAAUACCCCAUAAGAAUGUGGACUGGCAUCAGUCAGCAUUUAAAGAUUUAUCACUUAAAGAUGGGCGUGCGUCUGAUUAGGUAGUUGGUGAGGUAACGGCCCACCAAGCCGACGAUCAGUAACUGGCGUGAGAGCGCGACCAGUCACACGGGCACUGAGACACGGGCCCGACUCCUACGGGAGGCAGCAGUAAGGAAUAUUGGUCAAUGGACGGAAGUCUGAACCAGCCAUGCCGCGUGGAGGAUGAAGGCCCUCUGGGUUGUAAACUUCUUUUAUCUGGGACGAAACACUUCCUUUCUAGGGAGCUUGACGGUACCAGGUGAAUAAGCACCGGCUAACUCCGUGCCAGCAGCCGCGGUAAUAC